GUGGGGAAUCUUGCGCAAUGGGCGAAAGCCUGACGCAGCCAUGCCGCGUGGAUGAUGAAGGUCUUAGGAUUGUAAAAUCCUUUCACCGGUGAAGAUAAUGACUGUAGCCGGAGAAGAAGCCCCGGCUAACUUCGUGCCAGCAGCCGCGGUAAUACGAAGGGGGCUAGCGUUUCUCGGAAUUACUGGGCGUAAAGGGAGCGUAGGCGGACAUUUAAGUCAGGGGUGAAAUCCCGAGGCUCAACCUCGGAACUGCCUUUGAUACUUGGUGUCUUGAGUGUGAGAGAGGUGACUGGAACUCCGAGUGUAGAGGUGGAAUUCGUAGAUAUUCGGAAGAACACCAGUGGCGAAGGCGACUCACUGGCUCAUUACUGACGCUGAGGCUCGAAAGCGUGGGGAGCAAACAGGAUUAGAUACCCUAGUAGUCC
RNAcentral lists this ribosomal RNA (425 nucleotides) under uncultured bacterium. RNAcentral describes it as "partial 16S ribosomal RNA". It matches the Rfam family "Bacterial small subunit ribosomal RNA", at positions 354 to 796 of the family's 1533-position model. The record is from RNAcentral.